Molecule: long non-coding RNA, 637 nt
Organism: Carassius carassius (crucian carp)
Lineage: Eukaryota; Metazoa; Chordata; Actinopteri; Cypriniformes; Cyprinidae
Exons: 2
Source: RefSeq, a predicted model, not a curated record
AUUAAUUAAUUCUUUAUUAAUACAAAUAUUAAAGGGGUCAUAUGACUCUUUGGAGUGUUACAAGCUGGUCAUGAAUAGAUCCCUAAAGUUGCAAGUCUCAAACUCCUAAAAUGUCUCGUUCUAACAUCUCCCACAUGUCUACAUCAUGAUGUGGGAAGAUUUGCAUAACACCGCCCAAAUGUUCACACAAAGAAAGGUGGCGUAACUUUGAGUCUCGCUGUAGUAUUGCUGUGGCCUCCAUGUUGUGGAGACUCUUGUAGAGAAACUGUUAGAGCUUGUUGUUUGUUGUUUCUCCGAUAACAAAUACAGACACUGUAUUAUGUUUAUGCAGCACAAUGCAACGCAAUGUGUAAAAAGACAGUAUAAGUCUUUAUAAUCAGUAAUUAUGUCCCCACUGGAUACAAAAAAUGCCUCAUUUAUAAUGGGUUUUAUUGGUUUUGUCUCGUUGUGCGAGGGGAUACACAUCAUCACGUCACACUCUUGAGGUAUUCGGCCAAUCACAAUGCACUGGAUAGCUGGCCAAUCAGAGCACACCUCGCUUUUCAGACCGAUGAGUUUUGUAAAAAUCGACACGUUUCAGAAAGGCGGGGCAUAGAGGAGAAACAAUAAUGUACAGAAUGUGGAAUAUAAUGGUUUU